ACGGCGAGUGAAGCGGGACUAGCUCAGGAUGUAAAUCUGCACUUUAUGGUGCCGAAUUGUGGUCUGAAGACCUUGAUGUUAUCUGCCGGGCCAAGUUCCUUGGAAAAGGACAGCUGAGAGGGUGAGACUCCCGUCCGUCUGGUAGAAUGAGUCAGGUGUCAACGAGUCGAGUUGUUUGGGAUUGCAGCUCUAAUUUGGUGGUAAAUUCCAUCUAAAGCUAAAUAUUGGUGGGAGACCGAUAGCGUACAAGUACCGUGAGGGAAAGAUGCAAAGAACUUUGAAAAGAGAGUUAAAGAGUACCUGAAAUUGCUGAAACGGAAGCGAAGGAAACCAGUGUUUGUAUGUUCAUAUUUCCCUUGCCACUUGUGGUGUGGGCGCUGUGGAUAUGCGUGGGUUUGAUUUGGUUGAUCCCUUUGGAAGAGCGCAGUCAGAGUUGAUGUCUGUUGCUAGC
RNAcentral lists this ribosomal RNA (451 nucleotides) under Pseudo-nitzschia heimii. RNAcentral describes it as "eukaryotic LSU rRNA". It matches the Rfam family "Eukaryotic large subunit ribosomal RNA", at positions 86 to 553 of the family's 3401-position model. Lineage: Eukaryota; Bacillariophyta; Bacillariophyceae; Bacillariales; Bacillariaceae. The record is from RNAcentral.